GAUGAACGCUAGCGGCAGGCUUAAUACAUGCAAGUCGUGGGGCAGCAGGCCUGUAGCAAUACCGUUGCUGGCGACCGGCACACGGUUGCUGAACACGUACGCAACUUACCCUGAACUGUGGGAUAGCCCGUGGAAACCCGGAUUAAUACCCCGUCAUAUAAUGGAGUGGCCUCACUUUAUUCUUAAAGCUCCGGCGGUUCGUGAUUGGCGUGCGGCUGAUUAGGUAGUUGGUUGAGGUAACGGCUCACCAAGCCUACGAUCAGUAACUGGUGUGAGAGCACGACCAGUCACACGGGCACUGAGACACGGGCCCGACGCCGACGGGAGGGAGCAGUAAGGAAUAUUGAGCAAGGGAGGCAACUCUGACCCAGCCAUGCCGCGUGGAGGAUGAAGGCGCUCGGGGUUGUAAACUUCUUUUAUAGGGGACGAAACCUGUGUAUUCUGACGCAGUUGACGGUACCCUAGGAAUAAGCACCGGCUAACUCCGUG
Molecule: ribosomal RNA, 489 nt
Filed under: uncultured bacterium
Lineage: Bacteria
Description: partial 16S ribosomal RNA
Rfam family: Bacterial small subunit ribosomal RNA
Source: RNAcentral